This 844-nucleotide ribosomal RNA is filed under the name Bryoria sp. T. Goward 05-05. RNAcentral describes it as "partial small subunit ribosomal RNA". It matches the Rfam family "Bacterial small subunit ribosomal RNA", at positions 303 to 1040 of the family's 1533-position model. Lineage: Eukaryota; Fungi; Ascomycota; Lecanoromycetes; Lecanorales; Parmeliaceae. The record is from RNAcentral.
AUCGACCACAGUGGGCCUGAAUAAAGCCCAUGACGAUUGUCACAGCAGUGAGGAAUAUUGGUCAAUAGCCUAACGGCUGAACCAGCAACUUGGAGGAAUGUAUAGCAAUAGCUACUUGCAUCUUCGUAUACAUGAUGCAAGAUCGACUCUGUCGAAUAAAAUUCUAGGUAGAAUUAUGAUAAUGACAUUGUCUGCCUAUGUGUCUUGACCAAAUUACGUGCCAGCAGUCGCGGUAAUACGUAGAAGACUAGUGUUAUUCAUGUUUAAUCGGUUUAAAGGGUACCUAGACGGUAAAUCAAGCCUACAAAUAAAAGAAAUGAAGGGACUAAUUUGCUAGAGUUACUUAUGAGGGGGUAUUAAAGUACUGCUGGUGUAGAGAUGAAAUUCUGUCAUACCUCUUUUCAAUAGAAAAAUAAUGGCACAGGUAUAGGCGAAAGCAUCCCCUUAUGUGAUAACUGACGUUGAGGGACGAAGGCUUUGUGUAGCGAACAGGAUUAGAUACCCCAGUAGUCAAAGCAGAAAAUGAUGAAUGUCAUAGAUUAGAUAUAUAAGUUUAUUCUAUAAAUGAAAGUGUAAGCAUUCCACCUCAAGAGUAAUUUGGCAACAUUGGAACUGAAAUCAUUAGACCGUUUCUGAAACCAGUAGUGAAGUAUGUUGUUUAAUUUGAUGAUCCGCAAAAAACCUUACCACAAUUUGAANAUUUAUAUCUUUUAUUGUUUUUUUUUAUUUUUCUUCUUAUGACUUUUAUCCAUGAUUUUCUACUCAGUGAAGAAAAGGGAAGAAUACAAGAAAUAAGAAAAGAAGAAAAAUAAAAAAAAAAAAUAAUAAGAUAUAUUUACAAGCG